GACACACCCAUACAUUAAAGUAUGCAAAACUUAUUGGAGAAUGAAGAAAUAGGGCAAAUCUAGAUUUGUCCCAGGAUAACAUCUCCGCCAGAAACCUUGAAGUCAGAAGGUGCUUCUUCAACAUUCAGAACCUUAACAUUUCCAUCAACUACAUAUGCCGACCACCUAUGCAACAACAAUGAUAAAUAACGGAUUAAUAGAAGAUAGACAGGUUGUUUCCGAUAUAGCCUGAGCUCAAAAGGCCAAGUUAUUCGGAAAAGGAAUGCAAGAAAGUUCAACAAGACUUGAUUAAAACGAGUUAAACAUCUGCACAUUUCUCUGGGAUUAUCAAUUUUGGAAUUGGCAAUUGUUGGAAGUAGAAU
Molecule: long non-coding RNA, 362 nt
Filed under: Solanum lycopersicum (tomato)
Lineage: Eukaryota; Viridiplantae; Streptophyta; Magnoliopsida; Solanales; Solanaceae
Description: long non-coding RNA (SLYC_LNC000347)
Source: RNAcentral